CACCAGACUCCUACGGGAGGCAGCAGUGAGGAAUAUUGGUCAAUGGCCGAAGGGCUGAACCAGCCAAGCCGCGUGAAGGAAUAAGGCCCUACGGGUCGUAAACUUCUUUAGUCAGGGAACAAAGGGAGCCACGCGUGGCGCUGUGAGUGUACCUGAAGAAUAAGCAUCGGCUAACUCCGUGCCAGCAGCCGCGGUAAUACGGGGGAUGCAAGCGUUAUCCGGAUUUAUUGGGUUUAAAGGGUGCGUAGGCUGUGAGGUAAGUCAGCGGUGAAAUGCCCCCGCUCAACGGGGUGAAGUGCCAUUGAUACUGCCUUGCUGGAAUGCGGAUGCCGUGGGAGGAAUGUGUGGUGUAGCGGUGAAAUGCAUAGAUAUCACACAGAACACCGAUUGCGAAGGCAUCUCACGAAUCCGCGAUUGACGCUGAUGCACGAAAGCGUGGGUAUCAAACAGGAUUAGAUACCCGUGUACU
This 469-nucleotide ribosomal RNA is filed under the name uncultured bacterium. RNAcentral describes it as "bacterial SSU rRNA". It matches the Rfam family "Bacterial small subunit ribosomal RNA", at positions 329 to 794 of the family's 1533-position model. The record is from RNAcentral.